AUGACACUCACGCUAGCCAAAAGCCUUCUCCACUUUAGAAAUGCUAAAGUGAAGCUUCGCGCUCACGUUCAGUGUAUUAAUGCCUCUUGAAGUAAUUGUGUAUGCCAUUAAGGAAGUGGAUUUGCUAUCGGGAAAUGAAUGCAUGCGCGCCCUUUGCACAACACCUCAUUAAUAACUGUUGUUGUUUUAUUUUCCCCCUGCCGCCUUUGCGGAGGGGCAGAACGUUGUGCCAGGGUGGAUUGGAGAUGACAGGGAGAUACAUUUUUCUGACUUCCUGAUUCCCAUUCAAAUUAGCGUCACACCUUGUGGUCCUGUAGAAUGCAAACUCAAUCUGUGUUUUGUCUCAUAGGAGCACUUGCAUCUAACCUUUGACCUCACAACUCAAACAGAAAGCAAUGGCCGUCAGAUGUAUGAGGACUAUGCCGGCUCAAACACUUGUCAGCUAGAGGAAGGCGGUCGUGAGUGAUCAUCUCUGGUCACACGUAUUGCCUCUGCAACACUCCAGACAGCUUAAUCAGCAGAAUCUUGAAGGCAGGAAUUCAUCACUCAUUACUUUGCUGGCUAUCAGCAAUUAGCAGUGGGAGGUAGAUGAUCCUGCUUUUAGAGGAUCAAUCCGUCCAUCUGUGCUCCACUACCAGGGGCAAGUGCAGCCUCACGUUCACUGCAUGAUGGAUGCAUGGAACGGCGCUGCGUUACUGAAACAAGAAAACCUCUUAAUGUCCGCAAACUUCAUUCUUAGUGCAGAGGAAGGUGAUCCCUCUCGCAGCGGUUUCGAAGGAUGCGGACCCUUGAUGGAUCUUUGUUCAUCUGCCAUGUUUUGUCCCUCCCCUUGUACUCAUUCAUCUGCUGGCGAAAAUGAAGAGGCUGUCGCCGUUCAGCCGCCAUUAAUUUUUCAUGAAAAUAUCAAUUAUGUCCUGUAAUAGAGAGCUCGCAUGCACCGCCCGGGAGGGAUCGGCCAUCCUCCAUGCAAUCAUCCCAAAUUUGGCCUUGUGCUCCGCUUAUACCCUUCAUCCCCAGCUCCCUCCACCCUGAGAGCCGUACUCUCCUAAUUAGUCACCAGGAGGAGAGGGGGCUCUAUUAGGACCAGUGAUGAAUCAUUAUCUUCCGUAAUUGGCCCUCCAGUCCCCCAGGGGGUGCCCUGCUCCAGACUGCCCAGCUGGAGGAGCCUAUCCUGCCACGGCAUGAAUCUGCAGCUGGAGAGUGAGCCAAACUUCUUCUUCUUCUUUUUUUUUUUACUGCAAAGCCGCCAUUAAUAAUCCUGAACCUCAGCUCAUACUAAUAGGUUCAUAUUAAUCAUUGUUUGGGUGAUGCGGUUCUGUAAUUGAGAGCCGCCUUAAGAAGAUUAAUUUGGUGUAAUAUUCAUCACAGAGGGGAAGAGAGUUAUUGGUAUUCAUUAUGAUGGUGAUGUUGCCACAGCAAUUUUGCAAAGGCGGGUAAAGCUUUGUGAAUGCGGCCUUGCGAAAUGAUAAACAACUCGUUUAUGAUUCUGUAUUACUCUACAACAACAGUUUGGAUUCAUUUCCAUAUAGUGAGUGCAUUUUUCUUUGU
Molecule: long non-coding RNA, 1548 nt
Organism: Sinocyclocheilus anshuiensis
Lineage: Eukaryota; Metazoa; Chordata; Actinopteri; Cypriniformes; Cyprinidae
Exons: 3
Source: RefSeq, a predicted model, not a curated record